Molecule: long non-coding RNA, 986 nt
Filed under: Cucumis sativus (cucumber)
Lineage: Eukaryota; Viridiplantae; Streptophyta; Magnoliopsida; Cucurbitales; Cucurbitaceae
Description: long non-coding RNA (CSAT_LNC002856)
Source: RNAcentral
GAGUUCAAUCCUCAAACUAACCGAGUUCAAUUCCAAACUGAUGUCGGGUCUAGAUUCAAAUGAUAGAAUCUUUGAAGACAUAUGGGCGCUGUGGCACAAAGGUCUUUUGGACUGCAUUGAAGAAGAGACGGAUUCUAUGAUAUAUGGUCCAGGCAUGAGUGCAUGGUUUCCAACCUAUAAACAAAGUUUUAAUCUAUGUACAACUUGAGAGUAAAUGGGGGAUUUAAGAAAAGGCGAGUUGUUAGCGAUCUGUGAAGGUUUUGGUGCACUAGUCAUUACUCAUUAGUUGACAGAAAGUUGAAAGAAUUUAGGUCAUAUUUUCAAAGGUGAGAAAUACUAUUGCAGGAAUGCAUGCAAUUUCUACUGUAUAUGAAGGUGAGAUAUAUUAUAUUCACGACCUUCAAUGGGAUUGUCUUUUUGCGCAGUUGUGUUGAUCUGGAGCAGAUGGUUGAGGACUUUUGGUUUAUGUUUGGCUUGGAGGAGAGAUUGUUUCUCCCUGAUUGAGGAGGUUCUCUUGUCUUUGGUUUUCCAUGAGAAAGAACAUGUGAUGUGGCAAGUGAAUUUUUUUUUGCUAUCGUUUGGAGUAUUAGGCUAGAGAGAAAGAAUGGGAUCUUUAGAGAGGUUGAGACAUCCAGGGAGAAGGUUUAGGAGGGACCGGUUAAAUGCCUUCUUGUGGGUGUUUGUUUUAGUUACUUUUGUAAUUGUGAUCUUGGUUUGAUUUUUUUGGAUUGGAGCUAGGAGCUAUUUUCUUAGUUUGGGGCUCUCUCUGCUUUUCUAUGAGGUGUUUUUUUGUAUACCCCUUUGCUUUCAUUAUUUCUGUACGAGAGUUUGAUUCGUAAAAAGAAAAAGAAAUUUGGUGUUCUUAGUUGAACCUACAGAGUCUGAAGGAGAUAUAAUUUAAUUAGUUAAGGGUAAAUUUAUAUAACUUUUUGUUGUUUUUAUUCUCAUUUUAUGUUUCUUCUCUUGCUUAUGUCAUUGUUAUUACU